RNAcentral lists this ribosomal RNA (466 nucleotides) under uncultured bacterium. RNAcentral describes it as "partial 16S ribosomal RNA". It matches the Rfam family "Bacterial small subunit ribosomal RNA", at positions 28 to 507 of the family's 1533-position model. The record is from RNAcentral.
GACGAACGCUGGCGGCGUGCUUAACACAUGCAAGUCGAACGGUAAGGCUCCAGCUUGCUGGGGUACACGAGUGGCGAACGGGUGAGUAACACGUGGGUGACCUGCCCUGCACUUCGGGAUAAGCCUGGGAAACUGGGUCUAAUACCGGAUAGGACCAUGGUGUGGAUACUGUGGUGGAAAGUUUUUUCGGUGUGGGAUGGGCCCGCGGCCUAUCAGCUUGUUGGUGGGGUAAUGGCCUACCAAGGCGGCGACGGGUAGCCGGCCUGAGAGGGUGGACGGCCACAUUGGGACUGAGACACGGCCCAGACUCCUACGGGAGGCAGCAGUGGGGAAUAUUGCACAAUGGGCGGAAGCCUGAUGCAGCGACGCCGCGUGGGGGAUGACGGCCUUCGGGUUGUAAACUCCUUUCACCAUCGACGGAGGGUUUCUGACGGUAGAUGGAGAAGAAGCACCGGCUAACUACGUG